RNAcentral lists this ribosomal RNA (486 nucleotides) under uncultured bacterium. Its description in RNAcentral is "partial 16S ribosomal RNA". It matches the Rfam family "Bacterial small subunit ribosomal RNA", at positions 30 to 507 of the family's 1533-position model. The record is from RNAcentral.
AUUGAACGCUGGCGGCAUGCCUUACACAUGCAAGUCGAACGGCAGCACGGGUGCUUGCACCUGGUGGCGAGUGGCGAACGGGUGAGUAAUACAUCGGAACAUGUCCUGUAGUGGGGGAUAGCCCGUCGAAAGCCGGAUUAAUACCGCAUACGAUCCACGGAUGAAAGCGGGGGACCUUCGGGCCUCGCGCUAUAGGGUUGGCCGAUGGCUGAUUAGCUAGUUGGUGGGGUAAAGGCCUACCAAGGCGACGAUCAGUAGCUGGUCUGAGAGGACGACCAGCCACACUGGGACUGAGACACGGCCCAGACUCCUACGGGAGGCAGCAGUGGGGAAUUUUGGACAAUGGGCGAAAGCCUGAUCCAGCAAUGCCGCGUGUGUGAAGAAGGCCUUCGGGUUGUAAAGCACUUUUGUCCGGAAAGAAAACCUUGGCUCUAAUACAGUCGGGGGAUGACGGUACCGGAAGAAUAAGCACCGGCUAACUACGUG